UGAGGAAUAUUGCGCAAUGGGCGAAAGCCUGACGCAGCAACGCCGCGUGGAGGAUGAAGGCCUUCGGGUCGUAAACUCCUUUUCUGGGAGAAGAGACAAGGACGGUAUCCCAGGAAUAAGUCUCGGCUAACUACGUGCCAGCAGCCGCGGUAAUACGUAGGAGGCUAGCGUUAUCCGGAUUUAUUGGGCGUAAAGCGCACGCAGGCGGUCGCGUAAGUCGGACGUGAAAGCUCUCGGCUCAACCGAGAGA
Molecule: ribosomal RNA, 250 nt
Filed under: uncultured bacterium
Lineage: Bacteria
Description: partial 16S ribosomal RNA
Rfam family: Bacterial small subunit ribosomal RNA
Source: RNAcentral